Molecule: RNase P RNA, 421 nt
Filed under: Candidatus Gracilibacteria bacterium HOT-871
Lineage: Bacteria; Candidatus Altimarinota
Description: RNase P RNA component class A
Rfam family: Bacterial RNase P class A
About the family: Ribonuclease P (RNase P) is a ubiquitous endoribonuclease, found in archaea, bacteria and eukarya as well as chloroplasts and mitochondria. Its best characterised activity is the generation of mature 5'-ends of tRNAs by cleaving the 5'-leader elements of precursor-tRNAs. Cellular RNase Ps are ribonucleoproteins.
Source: RNAcentral
CUUGUGGAGCAGAUAUCUACUUUGGGGAGAAUACAUUUUUCUAAAGAGGAAAGUCUGGACACCAUGAGGCAAUCAUAGAAGAUAACGACUUCGGAUUGAGAAUAUAAUUCAUAAAUCUCAAUUACCAACAGUGCCAUAGAGACUAUACUAGAGUUUUAUACUUGAAAGGUGAAAAGUCAUUUUGUGUAUUGCAUUAUUACUAUGAGAAAUAUUUUUCAUGUGAUUUUGUACUGCGAUAGAUGAAAAAUUUGAAAAAAUUUUUGGUAAACUGUAUGAGGUGCAAUGGGAAUGGUAUUUUUAUUUUAUUGAAUGCCUCUAGUUGUAGGAUAAAAAUAUACCCAGCUUGAACUUUUUGGUGACAAAAAGUCUAGAUAGAUUGAUAUCGAGGUACAGAAUCCGGCUUAUUACUCCUGCAAGUCCU